AGCUAGAAGAGCGUGAUAUAUGUUUUAUGUUAUAUUUACUCUCUGCAAUAAUAAUCUCAAUAAUAGUUAGAGUUGUAAUUCGAUAAUAUGUCGUCGUCUUUCUGUACAACAAAGUACGAUGUAUUCAUUAGCUUCAGACGUGAGGACACCCGCAAAACUUUCACUGUCUAUCUGUUUAACCUUCUGGCAAACAAGACAAUCCGAGCAUACAUGGAUUGUCUUCUCCGGAGAGGAGAUGAAGUCUGGCCAGCACUCGAGAAAGCGAUCGAGAGCUCGCUAAUAUCGAUCGUGGUUUUCUCAGAAAAUUACGCGCUUGGAAGAGCUCGUCAAGAUUCUUCAAUGGAGGGAAUAUCACGGUCAGGUUGUUAUACCCGUUUUUUAUAGAACAGAUCCGUCAGAUAUACAGAACCAAAAUGGGAGUUUUGAGAAGGCGUUUGCAAAAUACAAAAGAGAUCUUGCAGAGAGUGAAUCCAACAGAGACAAGAUAAGCAACUGGAGAGACGCUCUCAAGAAAUCAGCUAAUAUUUCUGGAUAGCACUCCACAAACUAUGCCCCCAGCGUUGCAUCUCGAGCAUGCGGCGACAGCAGGGCAUGCCACUGGAUGAGAGAUACGUUUCGUACCUACAGAUGGCCGGAUUACACUAUCUUGCUAGACUGAACGAUAGAUGGUUCUGAUUAGAUGAGCCCCUUGUUAGUGCAUUCGUCGAGCGGUGGCAUCCGGAGACGCACAACUUCUACAUGCCGUUCGGAGAGUGCACGAUCACACUUCAGGAUGUGGCAUACCAGUUGGGAUUGUCAGUGGACGGACGCUAUGUCACUGGUUGCCUUACAGAUUUUCAUGUAUACAUCGAGGGUGGCCGUCCUGCCUGGGUGUGGUUCUAGGAGUUGCUUGGAGUGAUUCCUCCUCCGAGCCAAGUUCAAAAGUUCGCUGUAAACUGCACUUGGUUCCAGGAGACUUUUGGGGAGUGCCCCGUGGGAGCCGAUGAGGAGACUGUGCGGCGCUUUGCUCGUGCAUAUAUCAUGAUAUUGUUGGGUACUCAGCUGUUUGUCGACAAGUCCGGCAACCGCAUUCACAUCAGAUGGCUUCCAUACGUUGCUAGGCUUGAGGAGAUGGGUACCUACAGCUGGGGUCUGCAGCACUAGCAUAGUUGUACCGGUGCAUGUGCUGAGUGGCGAACAGACAUGUGGUAAAGUUAGCGGGCUCACUUCAGUUACUUCAGUCCUGGAUCUUCUGGCGCUUUUCUAGGUUUAGGCCGGCUGGGUAUGAUACGUGCAGCUGGCCCUUGGCCUCGAGGUGGUCAGGUUACAACCCUCCCGGUGGCGAGAAGGGACCUAGAGUGCAGAACUGGAGACUAAGGCUAGACAUGUUAUAGGCCACCAAUCACUCCCGAGGUAUUGCAGGUUGUGCAUCCGGAGGUGUUGGAGCCUCGGCAUACGGCGAUGUGGCGAUCUGUGACAUCACUGAUAUACUUUGCCGUGAUAGAGUGACAUCAGAUAGAUAUGGUUUUACCGCAGUUCGGCGGAGUCCAACCCCGUCCACAUCCCGCCUUAAACAUCGACUUUCUAAUGUCGAAGGACGGGAGAGGGGGUGAUCGUUGGUUUCCGUCGGCUCUUCAGAUAUGGCAUCUUCAUUGGGAGAGCCGUGCCGACCACGUUCUUCGGUUUGAUGUUGUUGCAGACCCUGGACCAUCACAUGAUUACCUGCAGUGGUGGAGUCGGCAUGGAAAGAGGUUUCUGUCACCAGAGAUGUAUUUGGGUGAUCCGAGAGCCGUUCCUAUUCCUGUGGAGACGUCGCAGAGGGGUCCUGGGCGAGUUCCCGACAUGUAUCGUGCUGACGACGUCCCGGAUAGGCGUCGGGUCGAGAGGAGAGCUCGUGUGGGAACACGUCAGAGCCAGCGCGAGUGGAGGUGGCUGGAUCAGGCUAUGGAGGAGGGUGAUGGGGACGGCCACCCUGGAGGACGACGACGAGGCCCGGAGGCAGACAGAGAGGGCGUGCUGCGGCCGACGAUCACGGACAUCAUGGUCACGACGACAACGACGAUCUGGUAGGGAUGCUGGAGGGCAUGCUGCAGUAGGGGGUGUUAGUCCCCAUCAUGUAGGGCAUGGAGGUGAGUGGUACGGCUCCGAUAUGGGUGACGGCACAGAUCAGGGUGACGGUGGAGUUGCUCAGGCCCACUAGGCGAUUACUUCGUUGGUGUCCCUGCCGAUGAUUAGACACUUCAGGAGAGUACGCCUUGGGUUAGCCCGGGUUCCAUGUUUUCAGACUUCCUGGCAGCUGACGGGCUUGAUGCGGCAUACAGCGGUUCACACUUUCUAGAUGAGCUUACUGCCAUCAUGCAGGAGGAUGAUGCGGCCCGUCGGCGUGGUCAGAGUUCCGGCACGCCUGCACCUUUAGCUGUCGAUCUUAACGAGCCUCCUACGAUGCCAGCUGCUGACCCUUUUACAUUGGGUGGUACUCCUCCUUUCGCCUAUACUGCUGCGUCACAUUCAGGUGCCAGGCCGUCUGGGGCCUCCGUCCAGCCUAGGCCACAUGCACAGCCUGCCCUGGACGACGAGGAUGAUGAGAUUGAGGACGAGGAGCCGCUUAUCCGGAGUGGUCAGAGGACACGGGUACCCCGUUGUUGCUUCACCGGUUCACAUCUUUUUAGAUGAUUGUUGUAUCUUGUAUGGCUUUUUUUCAUGUUCAUUGUUGUAUUUUAGCGAACUUUGUUAUUGUACUUUGACUAUUUAUGUUUCGGUUCGUUAGAACUUUAUCAUGAUGUUGUACUUUGAAAACGGCCUUUCAAUGCUACUUUCAGUAACUA
This is a long non-coding RNA of Arachis duranensis, 2804 nucleotides long. RefSeq lists it as uncharacterized. The transcript is spliced from 4 exons. The record is from RefSeq and is a predicted model, not a curated record. Lineage: Eukaryota; Viridiplantae; Streptophyta; Magnoliopsida; Fabales; Fabaceae.